GUCCCCCCCCAGACAGGCUCCGUUCUUGUGCUCGGAACAGCCUACGUCUUGGGCAUCACCGAAGCUCACAGAGGAGGGGCCCGAGGCUCUUGAGAGGUGACCUGUGGGCCCUGUUCAGCGGGUGGAGAAGCAUCCAGCAGUCCUUGAGGACCCAAGACUGGAGAUUUUAGAGGUUGGAGGUAAACAUUCUCAGUGCUGUUCGUGGGCCUAAGCUGCAAUUGGCACUUCGAGAAAGUAAAGACAACUGGCAAACCAGCUCCUGUCUGUAAGCCGUAGGAAUGAAAUAAAGCGCCCCCAGAGCGUCACCUCCCGUUUCCAGCCAUCUGUUGCCAAAGAUAUUACAUGUUUAUUACAAGACUCAGUGCCUAUAAAGCAGGUGUCUCGUGGGUGAAUGAACUGUAUAACCUCAAAAUAUUUACUUGGGCCCAUUUUAUUCCCUGGAACAGAAGCUUCUUCCUGUCGGCAGCCUUCUGUUUGGCUUUUCUACUUAGUUCUGAUCCCGUACAUUGCCGUUCCUUUUGAAGUUUUCCAGCAUGUUUUAUCAGAGGAACCGCCCCACACCAGGCUCUGUAUUCUGAGUUUUGUGGCUGUAGAGAUGGGCAGACCUGUCCACACAGAACUCUUCGCCCGCUGGAACAUCACUGUGACCCGUAAACUACCUGUGUACAUUAAGUGAUGCGGCCACUGAUCCCACAUGACACAUGAAUAUAUCUUUCAUCAUUGGAAAGGUUUAAAAUAAAUGUGUAUUUGUAUUAAA
Molecule: non-coding RNA, 757 nt
Organism: Manis javanica (Malayan pangolin)
Lineage: Eukaryota; Metazoa; Chordata; Mammalia; Pholidota; Manidae
Source: RefSeq, a predicted model, not a curated record